UACGUAGGGGGCAAGCGUUGUCCGGAGUUACUGGGCGUAAAGCGCCCGCAGGCGGUCUUUUAAGUUUGGAGUGACAGUUGGUGGCUUAACUGCCAAAGUGCUUCGAAAACUGAAAGACUUGAGGGCUUCAGAGGGACACGGAAUUCCGGGUGGAGUGGUGAAAUGCGUAGAGAUCCGGAAGAACACCAGUGGCGAAGGCGGCCCGCUGGGCAGUGGCUGACGCUGAGGCGCGACAGCGUGGGGAGCAAACAGG
RNAcentral lists this ribosomal RNA (253 nucleotides) under uncultured bacterium. Its description in RNAcentral is "partial 16S ribosomal RNA". It matches the Rfam family "Bacterial small subunit ribosomal RNA", at positions 524 to 776 of the family's 1533-position model. The record is from RNAcentral.